Long non-coding RNA from Sapajus apella (tufted capuchin), 230 nucleotides. RefSeq lists it as uncharacterized. NCBI's taxonomy places the organism in Eukaryota, Metazoa, Chordata, Mammalia, Primates, Cebidae. The transcript has 3 exons. The record is from RefSeq and is a predicted model, not a curated record.
AAGAUUAUAACAUUGGAAUAGAGAAAAAACAGGACUCGUAAAGAACUGACAUAUUCACGAAUAUUAAGCAAAACGAGAGUUAACUAAAUGGACUGCACUCAGAAAGUUAAAGCAACCUUUUUGACUUUUGCUUGGAAUAUUGCUGAUCCUUGUUUUGUUUUUCAGAGUCAAGGAAACUUAUUCUGAACUAUUUAUGGCCUUUAGCAAUUAAGAAACGUAUACUUCUGUGA